RNAcentral lists this ribosomal RNA (433 nucleotides) under uncultured bacterium. RNAcentral's name for it is "partial 16S ribosomal RNA". It matches the Rfam family "Bacterial small subunit ribosomal RNA", at positions 29 to 507 of the family's 1533-position model. The record is from RNAcentral.
AACGAACGCUGGCGGCAUGCCUAACACAUGCAAGUCGAACGAGACCUUCGGGUCUAGUGGCGCACGGGUGCGUAACGCGUGGGAACCUGCCCUUAGGUUCGGAAUACCUCCCCGAAAGGGGUGCUAAUACCGGAUAAUGUCUUCGGACCAAAGAUUUAUCGCCUUUGGAUGGGCCCGCGUUGGAUUAGCUGGUUGGUAGGGUAAAAGCCUACCAAGGCGACGAUCCAUAGCUGGUCUGAGAGGAUGAUCAGCCACACUGGGACUGAGACACGGCCCAGACUCCUACGGGAGGCAGCAGUGGGGAAUAUUGGAAAAUGGGCGAAAGGCUGAACCAGCAAUGCCGGGUGAGUGAUGAAGGCCUUAGGGUUGUAAAGCUCUUUUACCCGGGAUGAUAAUGACAGUACCGGGAGAAUAAGCUCCGGCUAACUCCGUG